AACGUAGGAGACAGACGUUAUCCGGAGUUACUGGGCGUAAAGGGCGUGUAGGCGGUUUGUUAAGUCUGGCGUGAAAGCUCUCGGCUAAACCGGGAGAGGUCGUUGGAUACUGGCGAACUAGAGGAUGGUAGAGGCGUGUGGAAUUCCGGGUGUAGUGGUGAAAUGCGUAGAGAUCCGGAGGAACACCAGUGGCGAAGGCGACACGCUGGGCCAUACCUGACGCUAAAGCGCGACAGCAUGGGGAGCAAACGGG
RNAcentral lists this ribosomal RNA (253 nucleotides) under uncultured bacterium. RNAcentral describes it as "partial 16S ribosomal RNA". It matches the Rfam family "Bacterial small subunit ribosomal RNA", at positions 524 to 776 of the family's 1533-position model. The record is from RNAcentral.